GCCGACCCUUUCAUUUAUUAAGCACAUGUGGAAGCAGUUAAAAUCCCCAGACAAUAAAACGAUGGGAUAGAAAAGCAGGGCCAUAUUUUUCAUAUUGAAACUUAUAACCAAACUUUUAUACAAAACACAAACCAGAACACUUCACAACUUUUUAUUCUAAACUCUAUUCACAUCAAAAUAGAGAUCUCAAAAGAAGACAAAAACUUAGACAAAUUGGGCCGUACUCAAGGCCUCUUUCAGGAUUGUCUUCUUCUCCCAAAAAUCUUUCUCCUUAAGAUUCGCCUCCGAGUUCUCCUUCUCGGAUUCCUCCUUCUCAGCUCUUCAGCGGGGUCCUGAAAUGGUUUCCCCAAACUGGGAUGAGACUACGUCUCAGCGAGUUCUACCCCACUAAGCCCGAUUAGUAAACCAUUAUACUAAAGGUUGCCUAAACACGCACAGGGCAGAGGCCUUACCUUGACCUCAGAUCCCACCUGCAAAUUAGUACAAUUCAUAAUAGGCACCCAAACAAUCAUAUCACCGAUCGAAACAUCGAUCAAAUCGACCUAGUCGAUUAUAUUCCAACAAGACCACUCACGGUCAUUUCCAUUCAGUCAAUCAACUCACAACAUCAAAUCAAAGCAUCGACCUAGUCGAUUACAUGUCAGAUGGACCAUUCUAGGCCAAUGCUCUCGGGCGUCACGUUCACCAAGUGACUUAUCCACUAGACAAUUGCGUGCGUUCUUUAAGACGCCAUUUUCGCCAGUGACAUCCUUAGUCACCGAACUAUGCAUGCCUAUAACCAUGUACUCAAUAGACAAUUGUGUGCGUUCUUUAAGGCGCUGUUUUCGCCAGUGAUGUCCUUAAUCACCGAACCACACAUGCCUAUAACAGUGGAUUUAAUAGACAAGUGUAUGCGUUCUUUAAGGCGCCGUUUUCGCCAGUGAUAUCCCAAUCACCGAACCAUACAUGCCUAUUACAAUAUGAGUACUAGACCGAUACAUGCGUUCUUUAAGGCGCCGUUUUCGCCAGUGAUAUCCCAAUCACCGAACCACGUAGGUCCACAAUAAUGUAUGUACUAGACCGAUACGUGCGUUCUUUAAAGCGCCGUUUUCGCCAGUGAUGUCCCAAUCACCGAACCACGUAGGUCCAUACACCGUGUCUGAUUUGUUCAAUCCCAGAGUACUUCUGAUUCACUCUCGCCAUUCCACUCACUUUACAACUCAACAAAGCACUAUAAAUGCUGAAUAAACAUACUUGGCCAUUCACCAAUCAAUAAUUCAAUCUCAAUCGAUUCCAAUCAAAUUAAGGUAAAUCCCUAAAAUAUCACAAUUUAUUCAAUUCCAUACAACGUGGAGCUCAAAUAAAUAAACGGACCGUGCCACGACGAUCAGCACGAGAUUUCGGUCGUCGGCCAUCAAUUUCUUAAUUUCCGAAAAAUAAAUAAUUUAUUUAUUAAUUUCGAAAAUUAAAAAAUUAAUAUUAAAAAAAUUCAAUUUAGCUCAAAAUAAAGCCCGAUUAAGAAAACGGACUUCACCACGAUCAUCGGCAUAAUUUUCCAGUCCUGAGCCAUCUCAAUUAUUUUCGGAAAAUAAAUAAUUAUUUAAUUUAAUUCCGAAAAUUAAUAUUUAAAUACUAAAAAUUCCACUUAGGCCCGAAAAGCCUAAUUGGAGCCCACUAAGGGUCGGGAAAAAUCCCGAGAUGCUUCCAAUAAUUAGUAGACCACGUCUACUUGCUAAUUGCACAAUCAAUUUAUCUAAAUCGCAUCACAAUUGACUAAUAAUUGCUAAUUUAUUCUAAUCUAACAACCUAAACAUAAUUAAUUAAAACUAAACCAACCUUAAGCAUAAUUAGCCAACUAAUCCGGGAUUAGUGAGAUUACUCACCAAAUCGCGCGCAAAUCGGAUCAAUCCGACGGCGGCGACGCGAGGAACGAUUGUUCCCAAAGCACGGCUCGGGUUCGGGGCCCGGAAACGGCCCAAAACGAGCCCAGAAGUGCUGGAAACCCACUCGGCCGCUUGCUGGACGGGGCUGGCCGAGGCUGCUCCGGCGGCUAGGGCGGCGAGGGAAGGCCAGCGGAGGGUGAGGGGGACGCGGGGAAGGUCCGGCGGGGCUGGGCGGUGGCCGGAGGUGGCUGGACAAGGGCGGAGCAGGGCUGGGUCGCGGCUGGAUCGCGCGGAGGGAGGAGCAGCAGCGGCGACGGACGCGGGCAGAGCGCACGGCGUGCGCGGGCGGCGUUGCGAGUGCGGGCGGCGGGAUGAGCGGCGAGCGGCGGCUUCAGCGAACGGCAGCUUCUGCUCGAGCUUCCUGCUGCUGGUUCGCUCGUUCGGACGCACAGGGAGGAAGAAGAAGAAGAAGAAAGAGAGAGAGAGAGAGAGAGAAAGAGAUAGACAUUGACCGGUCAAAGAGAAAAAGAAAGAGAGAGAGA
This 2404-nucleotide long non-coding RNA is filed under the name Eucalyptus grandis. RNAcentral's name for it is "long non-coding RNA (EGRA_LNC006166)". The record is from RNAcentral. Lineage: Eukaryota; Viridiplantae; Streptophyta; Magnoliopsida; Myrtales; Myrtaceae.